This 412-nucleotide ribosomal RNA is filed under the name uncultured bacterium. RNAcentral describes it as "bacterial SSU rRNA". It matches the Rfam family "Bacterial small subunit ribosomal RNA", at positions 354 to 777 of the family's 1533-position model. The record is from RNAcentral.
GUGGGGAAUCUUGCGCAAUGGGCGAAAGCCUGACGCAGCGACGCCGCGUGCGGGAUGACGGCCUUCGGGUUGUAAACCGCUUUCAGCAGGGACGAGGCCGCAAGGUGACGGUACCUGCAGAAGAAGCCCCGGCUAACUACGUGCCAGCAGCCGCGGUAAUACGUAGGGGGCGAGCGUUAUCCGGAUUCAUUGGGCGUAAAGCGCGCGUAGGCGGCCAGUUAGGUCGGGAGUCAAAUUUCGGGGCUCAACCCCGUCUCGCUCCCGAUACCGGCUGGCUUGAGUGUGGUAGGGGAAGGCGGAAUUCCCGGUGUAGCGGUGGAAUGCGCAGAUAUCGGGAAGAACACCGGUGGCGAAGGCGGCCUUCUGGGCCAUCACUGACGCUGAGGCGCGAAAGCUAGGGGAGCAAACAGGA